RNAcentral lists this small nuclear RNA (100 nucleotides) under Chelonoidis abingdonii (Abingdon island giant tortoise). The record is from RNAcentral. Lineage: Eukaryota; Metazoa; Chordata; Testudines; Testudinidae.
UUGCCUGUCAAAGCACAUAAAAUUGUAAUGCUACAGAAAAGAUUAGCAUGGCCCCUGCACAAGGACGACAAGACAGAGCUGAAAAUAUUAGGCAAACUUU